UACGGGGGGGGCAAGCGUUGUUCGGAAUUACUGGGCGUAAAGGGUUUGUAGGUGGCUUGUUAAGUCAGACGUGAAAUCCCUCAGCUUAACUGGGGAACUGCGUCUGAUACUGGCGAGCUUGAGCACUGUAGAGGCAGGCGGAAUUCCGGGUGUAGCGGUGGAAUGCGUAGAGAUCCGGAAGAACACCGGUGGCGAAGGCGGCCUGCUGGGCAGUAGCUGACACUGAGGCGCGACAGCGUGGGGAGCAAACAGG
This 253-nucleotide ribosomal RNA is filed under the name uncultured bacterium. RNAcentral's name for it is "partial 16S ribosomal RNA". It matches the Rfam family "Bacterial small subunit ribosomal RNA", at positions 524 to 776 of the family's 1533-position model. The record is from RNAcentral.